Long non-coding RNA from Myodes glareolus (Bank vole), 814 nucleotides. RefSeq lists it as uncharacterized. The record is from RefSeq and is a predicted model, not a curated record. Lineage: Eukaryota; Metazoa; Chordata; Mammalia; Rodentia; Cricetidae.
CUUCAAGUCUGAUGACUGAGAUGAUCCAACCUCACAGAAUACUCCAAUCAGGCAGAUAUCAAAUGAAAAUUGGAACAAAGGUAUCAACUGGCUGUCAAGACAAAAUAGCAGAGUGCGGAGCCUCAUAAAGCACUGAGUGAUCACGCAUGGCAAAGAAUAUGGUAUUUGCUCCAUUUUUCAUGUGAAGAUGUGGUCUAAGAUUGCAAAGAAUUCCAAAAAGACAAAGAUGGUUUUAAAACAAGGAAGCAGACACCUGACUCAGUAUGCUGUCAUCACAAAUGAUUCAGCAUCACCUAAGAGACACACUUCAUGACUUGUGUGUGAGGGUCUUUCCGGAGAGGCUGAUCUGAGAAUGGAAGGCCUACGUGGAUGUGGACAUCAUCUGCAAUCCCAGGCUGAGGAAGAGUGGAAAGGGAAAAGCAAGCUAAACCAGCAUUCAUUUUUCUCAUCUUCCUUAGUGACAGGACUGCCUUUAUCCCUCUCCCACUCUUUGAGGCUCUAUAUCAAACCUCGAGCCUCCCUAGCCACCUUGUUUUAGGGCACCGGUUUCCACCUUCUGAAGCUGGAAUUGCAGGUUGGCCACCAUGCCCACCCUGAAUUUACUUGGGUUCUGGGGAUCCAAACUCCAGUCUCCAUGCUUGCCAAGAGCUAAAACCGCUGUGCCGUCUCCAGGGCUCCAAUAUGCUGAGUUUUUAAGGAAUAUACUACUCGUCUGGUUAGAGAAUCUUAGUAUUUUUAAAUGAAUUUCUAAGCUGUGUACUUAAUUAUUCAAAAUAUUUGCGAAUGAUAAUACAUCUUAUUUGUUAAAUAACAA